UACGUAGGGUGCAAGCGUUGUCCGGAAUUAUUGGGCGUAAAGAGCUCGUAGGCGGUCUGUUGCGUCGGCUGUGAAAACCCGGGGCUCAACCCCGGGCCUGCAGCCGAUACGGGCAGACUAGAGUUCGGCAGGGGAGACUGGAAUUCCUGGUGUAGCGGUGAAAUGCGCAGAUAUCAGGAGGAACACCGAUGGCGAAGGCAGGUCUCUGGGCAUUAACUGACGCUGAGGAGCGAAAGCAUGGGGAGCGAACAGG
RNAcentral lists this ribosomal RNA (253 nucleotides) under uncultured bacterium. Its description in RNAcentral is "partial 16S ribosomal RNA". It matches the Rfam family "Bacterial small subunit ribosomal RNA", at positions 524 to 776 of the family's 1533-position model. The record is from RNAcentral.